CCUACACGACCGUACCGCAAACCGACACUGGUGCGCGAGAUGAGUAUUCUCAGGCGCUUGAGAGAACUCGGGAGAAGGAACUCGGCAAAUUGACACCGUAACUUCGGAAGAAGGUGUGCCUUUAGUAGGUGAAGUCCCUCGCGGAUGGAGCCCAAUGAGGUUGCAAAGAAUCGGUGGCUGCGACUGUUUAAUAAAAACACAGCACUCUGCAAACACGAAAGUGGACGUAUAGGGUGUGACGCCUGCCCGGUGCUGGAAGAUUAAGUGAUGGGGUGCAAGCUCUUGAUCGAAGUCCCAGUAAACGGCGGCCGUAACAAUAACGGUCCUAAGGUAGCGAAAUUCCUUGUCGGGUAAGUUCCGACCUGCACGAAUGGCGUAACGAUGGCCACACUGUCUCCUCCCGAGACUCAGCGAAGUUGAAAUGUUUGUGAUGAUGCAAUCUCCCCGCGGAAAGACGGAAAGACCCCAUGAACCUUUACUGUAGCUUUGUAUUGGACUUUGAACGGAUCUGUGUAGGAUAGGUGGGAGGCUUUGAAGCCGGGUCGCUAGAUCUGGUGGAGCCAACGUUGAAAUACCACCCUGGUGCGUUUGAGGUUCUAACCUAGGCCCGUUAUCCGGGCCGGGGACAGUGCAUGGUAGGCAGUUUGACUGGGGCGGUCUCCUCCCAAAGCGUAACGGAGGAGUUCGAAGGUACGCUAGUUACGGUCGGACAUCGUGACGAUAGUGCAAUGGCAUAAGCGUGCUUAACUGCGAGACUGACAAGUCGAGCAGAUGCGAAAGCAGGACAUAGUGAUCCGGUGGUUCUGUAUGGAAGGGCCAUCGCUCAACGGAUAAAAGGUACUCUGGGGAUAACAGGCUGAUACCGCCCAAGAGUUCAUAUCGACGGCGGUGUUUGGCACCUCGAUGUCGGCUCAUCUCAUCCUGGGGCUGUAGCCGGUCCCAAGGGUAUGGCUGUUCGCCAUUUAAAGAGGUACGUGAGCUGGGUUUAAAACGUCGUGAGACAGUUUGGUCCCUAUCUUCCGUGGGCGCUGCAGAUUUGAGGAAGCCUGCUCCUAGUACGAGAGGACCGGAGUGGACGCACCUCUGGUGUACCUGUUGUCACGCCAGUGGCAUUGCAGGGUAGCUAAGUGCGGAAGAGAUAACCGCUGAAAGCAUCUAAGCGGGAAACUCGUUUCAAGAUGAGAUCUGCCGGGGCCUUGAGCCCCCUGAAGAGUCGUUCUAGACCAGGACGUUGAUAGGUCAGGUGUGGAAGCGCAGUAAUGCGUUAAGCUAACUGAUACUAAUUGCUCGUGCGGCUUGACC
Molecule: ribosomal RNA, 1302 nt
Filed under: metagenome
Description: bacterial LSU rRNA
Rfam family: Bacterial large subunit ribosomal RNA
Source: RNAcentral